RNAcentral lists this transfer RNA (79 nucleotides) under Chloroflexota bacterium. RNAcentral's name for it is "tRNA-Glu". It matches the Rfam family "tRNA". Rfam says of the family: Transfer RNA (tRNA) molecules are approximately 80 nucleotides in length. Their secondary structure includes four short double-helical elements and three loops (D, anti-codon, and T loops). Further hydrogen bonds mediate the characteristic L-shaped molecular structure. tRNAs have two regions of fundamental functional importance: the anti-codon, which is responsible for specific mRNA codon recognition, and the 3' end, to which the tRNAs corresponding amino acid is attached (by aminoacyl-tRNA synthetases). tRNAs cope with the degeneracy of the genetic code in two manners: having more than one tRNA (with a specific anti-codon) for a particular amino acid; and 'wobble' base-pairing, i.e. permitting non-standard base-pairing at the 3rd anti-codon position. The record is from RNAcentral. RNAcentral also lists the same sequence under 1 other name. Lineage: Bacteria; Bacillati; Chloroflexota.
GCCCUCAUCGUCUAGUCUGGCCUAGGACGCCACCCUUUCAAGGUGGAGAUCAGGGGUUCGAAUCCCCUUGAGGGCACCA